Molecule: non-coding RNA, 864 nt
Organism: Peromyscus maniculatus bairdii (prairie deer mouse)
Lineage: Eukaryota; Metazoa; Chordata; Mammalia; Rodentia; Cricetidae
Source: RefSeq, a predicted model, not a curated record
UCAUAAUUUUUGUCUUUGCUCUUCACCAAAGGAAGCAGCAUUUGGAACAAAUGUCAAGAUGCCUGCAUCUGUAUGUUUCUCUCACAGGAGGGUCCUGAUGCUGGGCUGGUGAGCCUGCCACUCCCUUGCUCACCCCUGCCUGCGUCUCUUUCUGUACUGAUGGUUGUCCACUGGGGCAGCGGAGCCCCUGACUUCUCUCCAUGAGCUCUCAAGGGAGGAUCAUCAACACAUAUCAGUUACUUUCCAUUGCUACAAGAAAAUGCCCGAGGUAAACAAUCCAAGGUGGAAAGGUUCAUCUGUGCCCACAGUUUCGGAGGUUUCUAACCAUGGUUGCUUGGCUCUGAUGUUGCAGAGUGAUGUGUAAACCUAAUUAAUCUUAUCAAUAAAAACUAGGAGUCAGAUAUCGGGGUAAAAGCUGAAAGAUCAGAGAAGCAGGGGAACAGCCAGUCACUUCCUCUCCAGAUCCUCCAACCAAAAGGGCUGAGAUCCUGUCUCUGACCCACCUUAUCACUUCCUGUCUCCUAUCUGUACAGACCUCCUGGCCUCUAUGGUUAACUAGUGGCUAGCUCCGCCCUCUGACAUCAAGCAAGCUUUAUUUGUCAGAACAAUGUCACCCAGCAGCAGGUCUGUGGAGAGUUGUGCGUCUGACAGCGAGUGGGGAACAGAGGAGGCACCUCACUGCUAGUGAGCAGGAAGGAGACAGAAAGCUGGGGUGAAAUAAUCCUGCAAAGGGUGCUGUCUGCCUUGCUUUCCUGCGACAGGGUCUCCCUAGAUGAUUGGACUAGGCUGGCUGAUCAGCCGUGAAAUGACCAUGGGAUCCACUCCUGCUUCCUGAUGACAAAAAUAAAAGUGUGUGGUACAACA